UGGGAGGUGGCGACUGAGGAAGAUGAAGAUCCAGUUUCAGACAUGAGACUUGUUGGGUGAUCAUUUCAUUGAGAUCAACCUGAAUGACCAGGUGUAAAGUGCAAGAGUAGUAUGCUAUGACUGAGGCAACUCAAAUUUUUUAAUUGCCAAUGUCUGUUUCUUUUGAUUCUACAAAAGAAACUAUGUUUCUGGUAGCCCUUAAACCUCAGGAUUCCAAUCAACCGUUAGAUAGACUCAUGACUGAAAAACAGCAGGAAGAAGCAGAAUGGGAAAGCAUAAAUGUGCUAUUGAUGAUGCAUGGCUUAAAACCUUUGUCUCUAGUCAAAAGAACAGAUCUCAAAGAUCUCAUCAUUUUUGACAAACAGUCAUCACAAAGGAUGAGACAGAAUUUGAAAUUGUUGGUGGAAGAAACCUCACGUCAACAGAACAUGAUACAGGAGCUUAUAGAAACUAAUCAGCAGCUUAGAAAUGAACUUCAGCUAGAGCACAGCCGAGCAACCAAUCAAGAACAACGAGCUAAUGACUUGGAAUAAAUUAUGGAGAGUGUGAAAUCCAAAAUUGGUGAAUUGGAGGAUGAAUCACUAAAUAGGGCUUGCCAGCAACAGAAUAAAAUAAAAGAUCUUCAAAAGGAGCAGAAAACUUUAUAGGUGAAGUGCCAGCAUUAUAAGAAAAAACGAACUGAGCAACAAGAAACUAUUGCUUCUUUGCAAAUGGAAGUCUGUAGAUUAAGAAAGGAGGAAGAAGAUCGCAGUCACUCAAAACAGAGUGUUUGCCUAUCUGUGCAAAAGAGUUCCUCAUACCGUCUUGGAUAGACGGUAUGUAAUUUUGCUACAUAAAUUGAUAUGUAGCUAGAUUCAUGGUUUUGUU
Molecule: non-coding RNA, 867 nt
Organism: Macaca mulatta (Rhesus monkey)
Lineage: Eukaryota; Metazoa; Chordata; Mammalia; Primates; Cercopithecidae
Source: RefSeq, a predicted model, not a curated record